Molecule: long non-coding RNA, 426 nt
Organism: Cercocebus atys (sooty mangabey)
Lineage: Eukaryota; Metazoa; Chordata; Mammalia; Primates; Cercopithecidae
Source: Ensembl
CCCUCAGCAUAUGAUGUCAGCGGCUCUGGCGCCCGGCUUUGUCAGCCGCGGUUCCUGAAUGUCACACCCUGGAACUGUGUGGUAUUUCUGUUGUCCGACCACAGUACGACGUAGGCUCCACGCCACAGGGACUCUGGCUUCCUGGUCGGCCACUUUGUGCCUGGAGCAUGGAGCCGGGCGGGUGCCUGGUGGAUGUGUGUUGAAUAAACAGCUCUCCCUCCUGUCAGGACAAGCAAAAGCAUCAGAGACAGAGACAGGGAUAGAGACAAAAGACAGACAGAGAUGGAGACACUGACAGAGUGAAUGAGAGAGAGACGGCAGCCCGCGUGAGCGGGCUCUGCCUGAGAUCUCUGGCCACUGGGCUUUCUGCUCCUGCUCACUCUAAGGGAACUCCAGUGGGCUCUGCCCAUCCUGUGUUGCCGGAUC